CGAGGUGUAGCGCAGUUUGGUAGCGCACAUGGUUUGGGACCAUGGGGCCGGGGGUUCGAGUCCCUNGGGUUCGAACCCCUUCCAGGUCGCC
RNAcentral lists this transfer RNA (91 nucleotides) under Clostridioides difficile. RNAcentral describes it as "tRNA-Pro(tgg)". The stretch from base 1 to 74 matches the Rfam family "tRNA". From Rfam's summary of the family: Transfer RNA (tRNA) molecules are approximately 80 nucleotides in length. Their secondary structure includes four short double-helical elements and three loops (D, anti-codon, and T loops). The record is from RNAcentral. Lineage: Bacteria; Bacillati; Bacillota; Clostridia; Peptostreptococcales; Peptostreptococcaceae.